AUUGAACGCUGGCGGCAGGCCUAACACAUGCAAGUCGAACGGUAACAGGAAGCAGCUUGCUGCUUCGCUGACGAGUGGCGGGCGGGUGAGUAAUGUCUGGGAAGCUGCCUGAUGGAGGGGGAUAACUACUGGAAACGGUAGCUAAUACCGCAUAAUGUCGCAAGACCAAAGAGGGGGACCUUCGGGCCUCUUGCCAUCGGAUGUGCCCAGAUGGGAUUAGCUUGUUGGUGGGGUAACGGCUCACCAGGGCGACGAUCCCUAGCUGGUCUGAGAGGAUGACCAGCCACACUGGAACUGAGACACGGUCCAGACUCCUACGGGAGGCAGCAGUGGGGAAUAUUGCACAAUGGGCGCAAGCCUGAUGCAGCCAUGCCGCGUGUAUGAAGAAGGCCUUCGGGUUGUAAAGUACUUUCAGCGGGGAGGAAGGGAGUAAAGUUAAUACCUUUGCUCAUUGACGUUACCCGCAGAAGAAGCACCGGCUAACUCCGUG
RNAcentral lists this ribosomal RNA (490 nucleotides) under uncultured bacterium. RNAcentral's name for it is "partial 16S ribosomal RNA". It matches the Rfam family "Bacterial small subunit ribosomal RNA", at positions 30 to 507 of the family's 1533-position model. The record is from RNAcentral.